AGGAUAAACGCUGGCGGCGUGCCUAACACAUGCAAGUCGAACGCGCUUUCGGGCUUCGGUGCGAGAGCGAGUGGCGGACGGGUGAGUAACACAUGGGUACCUGCCUUUCAGUGAGGGAUACCGGCGAGAAAUCGCCGACAAUACCGCAUGGGCUUGUGGGAACACAAGCAAAGUGGCGCAAGCCACGCUGGAAGAUGGGCCUGUGGCCGAUUAGCUAGUUGGGGGGGUAACGGCCUCCCAAGGCGACGAUCGGUAGCUGGUCUGAGAGGACGAUCAGCCACACUGGGAUUGAGAACGGCCCAGACUCCUACGGGGGGCAGCAGUGAGGAAUUUUCCGCAAUGGACGAAAGUCUGACGGAGCAACGCCGCGUGCAGGAGGAAGGUUUUCGGAUCGUAAACUGCUUUUCUCGGGGACGAGCAAGGACGGUACCCGAGGAAGAAGCCCCGGCUAACUACGUGCCAGCAGCCGC
RNAcentral lists this ribosomal RNA (470 nucleotides) under uncultured bacterium. RNAcentral describes it as "SSU rRNA". It matches the Rfam family "Bacterial small subunit ribosomal RNA", at positions 26 to 518 of the family's 1533-position model. The record is from RNAcentral.